AGUGUGGGAUUUAAAGUUGUGU
Molecule: microRNA, 22 nt
Filed under: Columba livia (rock pigeon)
Lineage: Eukaryota; Metazoa; Chordata; Aves; Columbiformes; Columbidae
Description: cli-miR-9623-5p
Source: miRBase by way of RNAcentral